GCACAGUAAGGACUGUUACACACCAAGAAACUCUCUGGAGAACGUGGCAAAGCAUGAAGCUCGAGGCCACGCGAGAUAUAUAAUUAUUAUUAUGGAAUAGAAGCUUCCAACCUCUUCAGGUUUAGAAUCCACUAAUGGAGUUUAUCUGCACGUCUGACACACACACACACACUGAACAGCAGAACACGUUUCCCAAAGCUCGUUACACAACACGUCUUACAACCAGGAAACUGUGGCGACACUGCAGAAUGUUUGGAGCUCAGACUGAACUCUGGUCAAAGAGGAACAAUCUGCUCUGCUGUCAAACAUGGCUGGAGUCUCUCAUUCCAAUAAGAAACAAGUGGACUUCCUGCAGGUGGUUGUUCAUGUCCCUCACUGUGUGGACACACUGAGGGACACAGACUGUCUGUUGGCUUUACAGACACAAUUGAGUGUUGUUCCUCCCAAGAGAAUAGGAGGAGAUGAACCAAAGAACAACACAGACUGUUGCUGAAUCUUCUGUUUGUCUGGACAGUCGAGGACUUGUCGUCUUGUUGUGGCCACGGCGAGUUUGAUUCCCGUGUGGUACACCGAGUGCACAGUGAACCCGGCUGCUGUCACUGUAUCUGCCGAGCCGGCCACUCAUUAACUGUUAAUGACGAAGCCUCAGGAGACAGAGGACGCACUCCGGAGGACAGAGUCCCUGGGAUCCUGUGGAAACCAGUUGGGAUGUGGGACUGGAGGAAAUAUCGAAAGCCUCUUUUCUACUUUGACACUGAUAUGUUAGUGUUGAUAAGAGCCCACAUUAGAACAGCUUGAUAUUGUUUUGGGUUAUUGGCUGGCAGAUAAAGAAGCUGCAGAUAUGAACCUUUCAAACUUUUAUUAUUUAGAAUAAACAUAUGAAAUGUACAUGU
Long non-coding RNA from Platichthys flesus (European flounder), 893 nucleotides. RefSeq lists it as uncharacterized. The transcript has 2 exons. NCBI's taxonomy places the organism in Eukaryota, Metazoa, Chordata, Actinopteri, Pleuronectiformes, Pleuronectidae. The record is from RefSeq and is a predicted model, not a curated record.